CCUACGGGAGGCAGCAGUGGGGAAUAUUGGACAAUGGGCGAAAGCCUGAUCCAGCCAUGCCGCGUGUGUGAAGAAGGUCUUCGGAUUGUAAAGCACUUUAAGUUGGGAGGAAGGGUUGUAGAUUAAUACUCUGCAAUUUUGACGUUACCGACAGAAUAAGCACCGGCUAACUCUGUGCCAGCAGCCGCGGUAAUACGAGAGGGUGCAAGCGUUAAUCGGAAUUACUGGGCGUAAAGCGCGCGUAGGUGGUUUGUUAAGUUGGAUGUGAAAUCCCCGGGCUCAACCUGGGAACUGCAUUCAAAACUGACUGACUAGAGUAUGGUAGAGGGUGGUGGAAUUUCCUGUGUAGCGGUGAAAUGCGUAGAUAUAGGAAGGAACACCAGUGGCGAAGGCGACCACCUGGACUAAUACUGACACUGAGGUGCGAAAGCGUGGGGAAGCAAACGAGGAUUAGAUACCCUGGUAGUCCACGCCGUAAACGAUGUCAACUAGCCGUUAGGAAGCCUUGUAGUNUUAGUGGUCGCAGCGACGCGAGUAGUUAGACCGCCGUCGGGAGGUAACGGUCCGCGACGGUUAAACGUACGAAAGGAAGUUAGACGGCGNGAGACGUUGCGACGGACGACGACGAGGGAGGAGG
Molecule: ribosomal RNA, 637 nt
Filed under: uncultured bacterium
Lineage: Bacteria
Description: bacterial SSU rRNA
Rfam family: Bacterial small subunit ribosomal RNA (bases 1-548)
Source: RNAcentral